ACAACCUGCUUUCAAUAUACCACGCUGGACUCCUUCCUUUCUUCUACAUGAGAGGCUUAGAUACAGCAGACAGCGUCACACACAAGAGGCUUAGAUACAGCAGACAGCGUCACACACAAGAGGCUUAGAUACAGCAGACAGCGUCACACACAAGAGGCUUAGAUACAGCAGACAGCGUCACACACAAGAGGCUUAGAUACAGCAGACAGCGUCACACACAAGAGGCUUAGAUACAGCAGACAGCGCCACACACAAGAGGCUUAAAUACAGCAGACAGUAUCACACACAAGAGGCUUAGAUACAGCAGACAGCGUCACACACAAGAGGCUUAGAUACAGCAGACAGCGUAACACACACGAGGCUUAAAUACAGCAGACAGCGUCACACACAAGAGGCUUAGAUACAGCAGACAGCGUCACACACAAGAGGCUUAGAUACAGCAGACAGCGUCACACACAAGAGGCUUAGAUACAGCAGACAGCAUCACACACAAGAGGCUUAGAUACAGCAGACAGCAUCACACACACAAGAGAGACAGAUACAGCAGACAGCAUCACACACACACACCAGAGCCUAUGUUACAGCAGACAGAUCACACAUAAAGGGCUUAGAUACAGCAGACAGCAUCACACACAAGAGGCUUGGAUACAGCAGACAGUAUCACAUCAGAGGCUCACAUACAGUAGACAAGAUUACACAAGAGAGGCUUCGAUAUACCAGAUGUGAUCACACACACGAGAACCUUAGAUACAGCGGACAGGAUCACACAUGAAGGGCUUAGAUACAAUAGACUAUAUCUUGCAUUACAAGUUUAGAUACGGCAGACAAUAACAAACAUUUCAGGCUUAGAUACAACAGACAGGAUGAAAUGUGCGGCUGGGACAGAGCAGACCAUCAGACGUCACAGGCUUAGAUACAGAAGAUCAUACCAGAGGCUUAGACACAGUGAACAGUAUCACACAUGAUAAGCUUGGAUACAGUGGUUCUCUUGGUAUUUGUGUGGUCGGCUCCAUAUUCACCCACAGAUCCUCCCUGGCUGCGGCGGCUCCUUCUCUGCCCACAAGUUUGUGCCCCCUGUGAUGUCACCGCAGAGAUCGGCUAAAAUUAACCCUGAAGUACAGAAGCGAGAACAACACAAGAGAAGCGAGCGGACGAUAAGUGUGAACAGUGGCGUAACAUGCUAUCACAAGCAUGAGGGUAGUGAACAUUGGGGAACACCGAUUCUAUAUGACUGAGAUGGCGGUAGAACACAGAAUUUCUACAGGAAUUUUGGUCAUUUACGGUAAAAUAUGGCAAAAAAUAAAUGAAAUCAGGGACGCGCACUAUUGACGUUCUUCCCCUAAGUGCCCUGAGCACUUAUAACAAGUGGCUUUUUUUUUUUUCCCUUUCUUUUUUAAGUUCAGCCCCCCCAAAAUGUCUGUGCACGUCCCAGAAUGAAAUAAUAAAUUUUGGUACCAAUUAGAGAUGAGGGAACUUAC
Long non-coding RNA from Hyla sarda, 1478 nucleotides. RefSeq lists it as uncharacterized. The transcript is spliced from 3 exons. The record is from RefSeq and is a predicted model, not a curated record. Lineage: Eukaryota; Metazoa; Chordata; Amphibia; Anura; Hylidae.